UUGCUCUGUCACCCAGGCGGAGGCUGCAGUGAGCCAAGAUCACGCUACUGCCCUCCAGCCUGGGCGACAGAGCAAGGCUCCAUUUGGAAAAAAAAAAAAUGCAGUUAACAGUUUGACUCACGUGUCAAGUGAACACUGUUUUUUGAUAUAAAUCUCUAUAAUGUAUUCAACUGUAUACUAACAUCAACCUUUUGUAUGAGUUAAUAUGAAGUCAAAAGUGUUGCUACUCUAUUUCUAAACUGCUUGGCUCUUUAGAUUUCUAAGAAUAAAUGAUGAUUCAUCUACACUUUGUGUUACAGGAAAUAAUACACUAACUAAGUUUAUGCUAGUACUGAGAGGCCAGAUAAACACAAUUAAAGAUAUGUUAUCUGUCUAAAAUGAUAUUUUAAAGUAUUUAAAUCACUUAUACGUCUGUUAAGUGGACAAUGUAUUGACAGAGCUAGAGGUAACUUACAUUAUCCACAACAACUAUCCAUGAAUGAAGACAUACUAUAUAAAUAACUUAUAGGCAAUUCAAAAUUCCAUUUGGCUACUGGUUCCAAUCUUUUUUCUCUUUACUAACAUGGCUAAUAGAGCACCAAAA
This 583-nucleotide long non-coding RNA is filed under the name Homo sapiens (human). Its description in RNAcentral is "HSALNT0152777". The record is from RNAcentral. Lineage: Eukaryota; Metazoa; Chordata; Mammalia; Primates; Hominidae.